UCUCCGUUGGUGAACCAGCGGAGGGAUCAUUACAGAGUUGCAAAACUCCCAAACCAUUGUGAAUGUUACCUAUCCCGUUGCCUCGGCGGGCGGCCCGGGCCCCGCGCCCGGCGCCCCCGGGCCCCCCGUGGGCGCCCGCCGGAGGCAAACCAAACCCUUGAAUUGCAUGGCCUCUCUGAGACUUCUGUACUGAAUAAGUCAAAACUUUCAACAACGGAUCUCUUGGUUCUGGCAUCGAUGAAGAAGCAGC
Molecule: unclassified non-coding RNA, 250 nt
Filed under: plant metagenome
Description: partial contains small subunit ribosomal RNA, internal transcribed spacer 1, and 5.8S ribosomal RNA
Source: RNAcentral